UACGGAGGGUGCAAGCGUUAUCCGGAUUCACUGGGUUUAAAGGGUGCGUAGGCGGGCCGGUAAGUCAGUGGUGAAAUCCCCGAGCUUAACUUGGGAACUGCCGUUGAUACUAUCUGUCUUGAAUACUAUGGAGGUAAGCGGAAUAUGUCAUGUAGCGGUGAAAUGCUUAGAUAUGACAUAGAACACCAAGGGCGAAGGCAGCUUGCGACACAGUGAUUGACGCUGAGGCACGAAAGCGUGGGGAUCAAACAGG
This 253-nucleotide ribosomal RNA is filed under the name uncultured bacterium. RNAcentral describes it as "partial 16S ribosomal RNA". It matches the Rfam family "Bacterial small subunit ribosomal RNA", at positions 524 to 776 of the family's 1533-position model. The record is from RNAcentral.